AGACAGCAGCAGCCGCGGGAAUACAGAGGGUGCAAGCGUUAAUCGGAAUUACUGGGCGUAAAGCGCGCGUAGGUGGUUUGUUAAGUUGGAUGUGAAAGCCCCGGGCUCAACCUGGGAACUGCAUCCAAAACUGGCAAGCUAGAGUACGGUAGAGGGUGGUGGAAUUUCCUGUGUAGCGGUGAAAUGCGUAGAUAUAGGAAGGAACACCAGUGGCGAAGGCGACCACCUGGACUGAUACUGACACUGAGGUGCGAAAGCGUGGGGAGCAAACAGGAUUAGAUACCCCUGUAGUCCCUGUCUCUUAUAC
Molecule: ribosomal RNA, 307 nt
Filed under: uncultured bacterium
Lineage: Bacteria
Description: partial 16S ribosomal RNA
Rfam family: Bacterial small subunit ribosomal RNA
Source: RNAcentral